Morone saxatilis (striped sea-bass) is the source of this 582-nucleotide long non-coding RNA. RefSeq lists it as uncharacterized. Lineage: Eukaryota; Metazoa; Chordata; Actinopteri; Moronidae. The transcript has 2 exons. The record is from RefSeq and is a predicted model, not a curated record.
UUAUCUAACAAACGUUUCACUUUCUGGACAGACAGAUCUGAAGAACUCACUGAACAGGCUCCAAAAUGUGUUUCCAAGUCUGCGUUCAUCCACCCUUUGGAAAAGAAAAGAUUUUUGAGCUGUGCAACACUAAAGAGCAGCUGAAAAACAUCACUGGACGGCAAUUUAAAGAGAAAAUUAGUAAAGAGCUGUGGAUAAAUUAUGACUUUCGGAUUGUCGUAAACGCCAAGCCGGUGGAGGAAGAGGCCACUCUGGAAUCCACUGGGAUUGAGCACAUGUCCACAGUUCAUACAGUGCUGAAACUGUCAGGAGGCACAUCUGAUGAAGAAUAAACCCCACAGGAUCUCAAGAAAACCAUGAACCAUGCAUGAACAAAUCAAUAUAUCCUCAUGCAAUCCUUCUUUAAUCUUUAUGUAAUGUUUUAGGUAAUCAAAGUGUAUAGUUUAACAUUGAAUCAUGUAUCAGUGCCAUUAAUUUUACUCUUGGGUGUACAGAAAUUGUUUUCAGUGUCAAAAAAAAUCUUUAUGGGCUCAUUUUGAUUCAUUAUGUGUGGUUUGCAAUUAUAACAUUUUAUAAACUCUA